This is a long non-coding RNA of Camponotus floridanus (Florida carpenter ant), 548 nucleotides long. RefSeq lists it as uncharacterized. The record is from RefSeq and is a predicted model, not a curated record. The transcript is spliced from 3 exons. Lineage: Eukaryota; Metazoa; Arthropoda; Insecta; Hymenoptera; Formicidae.
UUUUAAUCCAUCCCCCCACCCAUUCCUCCUUGCCAUCUGGGCUCCGCGCUUCGUCGCGUCACGGAGCUAAAAAGGUUAUAGAAUACUAAACUUCGUUGUUGCGUUUUUGCUCUCUGCAUUCUAAAAAAAUCAUCUUAAUAUCUAUUGUAAACUAGUGCAGAACGUGGGAAGUGUUGGAGUGUUUAACAGUUAUACCUAGAUAAACAAGGUUUUUUAAAAUGUCAAAACGAAGCACUAAUCGUAGCAACAAAAAUAUGUUGCUUCCUGGAAAGAACAACAAGAGCUAUAAAGAUGAAGAUAUUGUUGAACCAGUUUCAGAAGAGAGCAUUUUGUUGAUGAUGGCAGAAAAUCAAUCUCUGAAACAACAGUUGGAGAGACUACACAUAAUAAUAAAACAGUAUUCUCAUUGCCCAGCAGUUGUCGAAUACCUGCAGAAAUAUAAUGUAAAAUAAUUCAUUGAUGUGCAAUAUUUUUGGUGUUUCGUACAUUUAUAUUGUAUUGAUUGUAUAUAUUUGACAUUUGGAAUAAUACUAGGUUUCUGUAUCAAG